UCCGAGUUGACCCCGGCAGUCUUCGAUGAGUCCCCGCCAUAACGCGCUGGCAACAUCGAACGAGGGUUGCGCUCGUUGCGGGACUUAACCCAACAUCUCACGACACGAGCUGACGACAACCAUGCACCACCUGUACACCGCCCUCGCGGACCCCGUAUCUCUACGGCUUUUCCCUACAUGUCAAGCCCAGGUAAGGUUCUUCGCGUUGCCUCGAAUUAAGCAACAUGCUCCGCUGCUUGUGCGGGCCCCCGUCAAUUCCUUUGAGUUUUAGCCUUGCGGCCGUACUCCCAGGCGGGGCACUUAAUGCGUUAGCUACGGCACGGAAACCGUCGAUAGGUCCCCACACCUAGUGCCCAACGUUUACGGCGUGGACUAC
This 376-nucleotide unclassified non-coding RNA is filed under the name uncultured Acidimicrobiia bacterium. RNAcentral's name for it is "contains 16S-23S intergenic spacer region". The record is from RNAcentral. Lineage: Bacteria; Bacillati; Actinomycetota; Acidimicrobiia.